CCUACGGGAGGCAGCAGUGGGGGAUAUUGCACAAUGGGGGGAACCCUGAUGCAGCGACGCCGCGUGGGUGAAGAAGCGCCUCGGCGCGUAAAGCCCUGUCAGCAGGGAAGCACAUGACGGUACCUGAAGAAGACGCCCCGGCUCACUACGUGCCAGCAGCCGCGGUAAUACGUCGGGGGCAAGCGUUAUCCGGCUUUACUGGGUGUAACGGGGGCGCAGACGGCGGUGCAAGCCAGGAGUGAAAGCCCUGGGCCCAACCCCGGGACUGGUCUUGGAACUGCGUGGCUGGAGUGCAGGAGGGGCAGGCGGAAUUCCUGGGGUAGCGGUGAAAUGCGUAGAUAGCAGGAGGAACACCGGUGGCGAAGGCGGCCUGCUGGACUGCAACGGACGUUGAGGCCCGAAAGCGUGGGGAGCAAACAGGAUUAGAUACCCCUGUAGUC
RNAcentral lists this ribosomal RNA (440 nucleotides) under uncultured bacterium. RNAcentral describes it as "partial 16S ribosomal RNA". It matches the Rfam family "Bacterial small subunit ribosomal RNA", at positions 338 to 795 of the family's 1533-position model. The record is from RNAcentral.